GAGUUUGAUCGUGGCUCAGAGCGAACGCUGGCGGCAUGCUUAACACAUGCAAGUCGCACGGUCAGCAAUGGCAGUGGCGGACGGGGUGAGUAACACGUAGGAAUCUAUCUCUGGGUGGGGGACAACAGUGAGAAACUACUGCUAAUACCGCAUGAUACCUGAGGGUCAAAGGCGUAAGUCGCCUGGAGAGGAGCCUGCGUCUGAUUAGCUUGUUGGUGGGGUAAAGGCCUACCAAGGCUACGAUCAGUAGCUGGUCUGAGAGGAUGAUCAGCCACAUUGGGACUGAGACACGGACCAAACUCCUACGGGAGGCAGCAGUGGGGAAUAUUGGACAAUGGGCGAAAGCCUGAUCCAGCAAUGCCGCGUGUGUGAAGAAGGUCUUCGGAUUGUAAAGCACUUUUGGCAGGGACGAUGAUGACGGUACCUGCAGAAUAAGCCCCGGCUAACUUCGUGCCAGCCGCCGCCGUAAG
This 470-nucleotide ribosomal RNA is filed under the name bacterium enrichment culture clone ALO1_GLFRUDD03FVQTR. RNAcentral describes it as "bacterial SSU rRNA". It matches the Rfam family "Bacterial small subunit ribosomal RNA", at positions 9 to 524 of the family's 1533-position model. The record is from RNAcentral.